This 120-nucleotide ribosomal RNA is filed under the name Pteropus alecto (black flying fox). Lineage: Eukaryota; Metazoa; Chordata; Mammalia; Chiroptera; Pteropodidae. The record is from RNAcentral.
GUCUGUGGCCAUGCUACCCUGAACAAGCCCGAUCCCAUCUGAUCUUGGAAGCCAAGCAGGGUUGGGCCUGGUUAGUACUUGGAUGGGUAGACCACCUAGGAAGACCAGGUGCUGUAGGCG